Molecule: small nucleolar RNA, 107 nt
Filed under: Glycine max (soybean)
Lineage: Eukaryota; Viridiplantae; Streptophyta; Magnoliopsida; Fabales; Fabaceae
Also listed under: 1 other name
Description: Small nucleolar RNA snoR97
Rfam family: Small nucleolar RNA snoR97
Source: Rfam by way of RNAcentral
CUUGAAUAAUUGGAUCUGGGUCUGAAAAACUCAAAGAUUGAGUGUUGUCAUCAGCUUCAUCUCUUGUUUAACCCACGAGAUAGGAGUUAAAUAACAGCACUACAUAU